CGGGAAACCGGAGCUAAUACCGGAUAAUAUAUUGAACCGCAUGGUUCAAUGGUGAAAGACGGUUUUGCUGUCACUUAUAGAUGGAUCCGCGCCGCAUUAGCUAGUUGGUAAGGUAACGGCUUACCAAGGCAACGAUGCGUAGCCGACCUGAGAGGGUGAUCGGCCACACUGGAACUGAGACACGGUCCAGACUCCUACGGGAGGCAGCAGCC
RNAcentral lists this ribosomal RNA (212 nucleotides) under uncultured Staphylococcus sp. RNAcentral's name for it is "partial 16S ribosomal RNA". It matches the Rfam family "Bacterial small subunit ribosomal RNA", at positions 150 to 355 of the family's 1533-position model. Lineage: Bacteria; Bacillati; Bacillota; Bacilli; Caryophanales; Staphylococcaceae. The record is from RNAcentral.